Molecule: long non-coding RNA, 677 nt
Organism: Sciurus carolinensis (gray squirrel)
Lineage: Eukaryota; Metazoa; Chordata; Mammalia; Rodentia; Sciuridae
Exons: 3
Source: RefSeq, a predicted model, not a curated record
GGUCUCACGGGCUUUUCUUCCUCACCAGCGCUGCUUUUCCUUCCCAGGCCCCGCGUGCUGUGCUGCGGGGUCCAGGUGUCUGCGCAGCCUGUGUCCCCGCGAGCUGUGGUGCCCGCAGGUCCCUGGAGAGGAUGCCGGGUCACCACGGAAGCGAACAAUGGCAGAUCAUAUCUCACUCUGGAAACAAACCCUACAAGUAUGAGGAAUGUGAAGAGGAUCCCUGUGAUAUUAAACCUUACAGGACAUCUCUGGUUCUCUCAAAAGUAUUCCAACACAAAUGUUAAUACCAACUGGAAAUGGACCUUAUAAAAGAGCAGUAUGUGGGAAAGCCUUCAGUUGUUCCAGUUCCAUUCAAAGGCAUGAAGGAACUUAUACUGGGCACAAACCCCAUAAAUCUGAAGCCUUUUCUUCUCUCACAGGAGUUCAAAGUCACAUGAAUACACACAGUGGAGAUAAACCUUUUAAAUGUAAGGGUCUUGUUAAGUUGCCAAGGACCUCCCUCAGUUACUGAGGCUGGCUUUGAACUUGGAAUCCUCAUGCAACAAUCUCUUGAGCCACUUGGAUUACAGGUAUGUGCCACGAUGCCCGACUCCUCAAUGUUUCUUGGCAACCUGAUGUAAAUCAGUGUGACUUGUUUGUGUAUGGUGUCCAGAAUUUAUCCAAUUCAGAAGCAAGAA